This 111-nucleotide small nucleolar RNA is filed under the name Gorilla gorilla gorilla (western lowland gorilla). RNAcentral describes it as "Small nucleolar RNA U13". It matches the Rfam family "Small nucleolar RNA U13". The record is from Rfam by way of RNAcentral. Lineage: Eukaryota; Metazoa; Chordata; Mammalia; Primates; Hominidae.
AUAGUUUAAAAAAUUUGUUAAGCAUGAUGAUUAACUUUUCACAAUAAUGCAAUAAUGUGUGAGCUGUGCCUCUCUCAAACCUUAUGAUGCUGGCCCAUUACCCAUCUGAUG